UUUCCGUAGGUGAACCUGUGGAAAGAUCAUUGUAGAGUUCCUUUUCAAACCGAUGUGAAGUUGUACAAAUACCCAUCGAGAACUAAUCGUUUUUGCUGUAAGCACUUGCGUUGUUUAGAUGGGUUCCCUUUGCUGCCUUCAUCUUUUCUUCAUUUGAAGUGAGAAGUAGAGUAGAAAUAAAAGACCGGCACGGUUUGUGCCAAGGAUAGUUGUUGAUGGAGUACAUUGCCAUCUUUUUGAUGUCUUUGUGUAAUUCUACGAGCAUAUACGUAUGAAUGACUCCUGGCAAUGGAUAUCUUGGCUCUC
RNAcentral lists this unclassified non-coding RNA (306 nucleotides) under root metagenome. RNAcentral's name for it is "partial contains small subunit ribosomal RNA, internal transcribed spacer 1, and 5.8S ribosomal RNA". The record is from RNAcentral.